This 460-nucleotide ribosomal RNA is filed under the name uncultured Achromobacter sp. RNAcentral describes it as "bacterial SSU rRNA". It matches the Rfam family "Bacterial small subunit ribosomal RNA", at positions 9 to 472 of the family's 1533-position model. The record is from RNAcentral. Lineage: Bacteria; Pseudomonadati; Pseudomonadota; Betaproteobacteria; Burkholderiales; Alcaligenaceae.
GAGUUUGAUCCUGGUUCAGAUUGAACGCUAGCGGGAUGCCUUACACAUGCAAGUCGAACGGCAGCACGGACUUCGGUCUGGUGGCGAGUGGCGAACGGGUGAGUAAUGUAUCGGAACGUGCCCAGUAGCGGGGGAUAACUACGCGAAAGCGUAGCUAAUACCGCAUACGCUCUACGGGGGAAAGCAGGGGAUCGUAAGACCUUGCACUAUUGGAGCGGCCGAUAUCGGAUUAGCUAGUUGGUGGGGUAACGGCUCACCAAGGCGACGAUCCGUAGCUGGUUUGAGAGGACGACCAGCCACACUGGGACUGAGACACGGCCCAGACUCCUACGGGAGGCAGCAGUGGGGAAUUUUGGACAAUGGGGGAAACCCUGAUCCAGCCAUCCCGCGUGUGCGAUGAAGGCCUUCGGGUUGUAAAGCACUUUUGGCAGGAAAGAAACGUCAUGGGUUAAUACCCCGU